Molecule: long non-coding RNA, 611 nt
Organism: Daucus carota subsp. sativus
Lineage: Eukaryota; Viridiplantae; Streptophyta; Magnoliopsida; Apiales; Apiaceae
Exons: 3
Source: RefSeq, a predicted model, not a curated record
AAAAUCAAUUGUUUAGGACAAGGUUCCUAAGGAUCCUAACAAGCCUAAGAGGCCUGCAACCGCUUUUUUCAUUUUCAUGGAGACUUUUCGAGCUGAGUUUAAGGAAAAUAAUCCUGGAAAUGCAAAUGGAAAUGCAAACGAGUCUGUUGAUUCAAAUCCCAGUGUUGUCAUUUUAGUUUUUAAUGGGAGGAAAAGCUGGACAUCAUGCAUCAGUUUUUGACAAGUACCGGCUCAAAUAAACGGUUAGCUUUUGACAGUUUUAGUUGGUGUUGCAUUUUGCUCAGAAGAUACAAAAACUUGCAUAUGCGUAUGCGUCAUUGUUUUUCUGCCCAUGUUUAGUGGUGCUAAAUACCAAACUUGAUAUAAUGCCAGUAUCUCUUCUUAUAUAUAAAGUUUUGACAUGGUGAUGGUGUUUGUUCGGUCUACAAUUUGGGCUCCCAAGUUCCUGCAGCCUUGCAGGUGGUGAUGGUAUAUAGCUAGCAUGGGAUGAUUACACCAUUUGGGUUCCUCAGAUUAAGAUGCUAAAUUAAGUCCGUCAAGGCAUUGUUCAAUUCGUCAAGUUUUAGUUCAGUAGUUAUAUUCUCUAAUUUAUCAGAUCUUUUUGUUAUUUA